UGUAGGUGAACCUGCGGA
Molecule: non-coding RNA, 18 nt
Filed under: Xenopus tropicalis (tropical clawed frog)
Lineage: Eukaryota; Metazoa; Chordata; Amphibia; Anura; Pipidae
Also listed under: 1 other name
Source: RNAcentral